AGCGAACGCUGGCGGCAGGCCUAACACAUGCAAGUCGAACGAACCUUUCGGGGUUAGUGGCGGACGGGUGAGUAACACGUGGGAACGUGCCUUUAGGUUCGGAAUAACUCAGGGAAACCUGUGCUAAUACCGAAUGUGCCCUUCGGGGGAAAGAUUAAUCGCCUUUAGAGCGGCCCGCGUCUGAUUAGCUAGUUGGUUGAGGUAAUGGCUCACCAAGGCGACGAUCAGUAGCUGGUCUGAGAGGAUGAUCAGCCACAUUGGGACUGAGACACGGCCCAAACUCCUACGGGAGGCAGCAGUGGGGAAUCUUGCGCAAUGGGCGAAAGCCUGACGCAGCCAUGCCGCGUGAAUGAUGAAGGUCUUAGGAUUGUAAAAUUCUUUCACCGGGGACGAUAAUGACGGUACCCGGAGAAGAAGCCCCGGCUAACUUCGU
Molecule: ribosomal RNA, 433 nt
Filed under: uncultured bacterium
Lineage: Bacteria
Description: partial 16S ribosomal RNA
Rfam family: Bacterial small subunit ribosomal RNA
Source: RNAcentral